RNAcentral lists this ribosomal RNA (253 nucleotides) under uncultured bacterium. RNAcentral describes it as "partial 16S ribosomal RNA". It matches the Rfam family "Bacterial small subunit ribosomal RNA", at positions 524 to 776 of the family's 1533-position model. The record is from RNAcentral.
CACGUAGGGCGCGAGCGUUGUCCGGAAUUAUUGGGCGUAAAGGGCUCGUAGGCGGUCUGUCGCGUCGGGAGUGAAAUUUUACAGCUUAACUGUGAACGUGCUUUCGAUACGGGCAGACUUGAGGUAUUCAGGGGAGAACGGAAUUCCUGGUGUAGCGGUGGAAUGCGCAGAUAUCAGGAGGAACACCGAUGGCGAAGGCAGAUCUCUGGGCCGUUACUGACGCUGAGGAGCGAAAGCGUGGGGAGCGAACAGG